AGGAGGAACAGCCCCAGUGACGGGGCCAGCUCUGGAAACCUGGAUUCAGCUCCGGCAGGAACUCCGUCUGCAGGGCCUGGAGGCUCCGGGGCGGG
This 95-nucleotide microRNA precursor is filed under the name Canis lupus familiaris (dog). RNAcentral describes it as "mir-8834 microRNA precursor family". It matches the Rfam family "mir-8834 microRNA precursor family". RNAcentral also lists the same sequence under 1 other name. Lineage: Eukaryota; Metazoa; Chordata; Mammalia; Carnivora; Canidae. The record is from Rfam by way of RNAcentral.